RNAcentral lists this ribosomal RNA (320 nucleotides) under uncultured bacterium. RNAcentral's name for it is "bacterial SSU rRNA". It matches the Rfam family "Bacterial small subunit ribosomal RNA", at positions 1059 to 1380 of the family's 1533-position model. The record is from RNAcentral.
CUCGUGUCGUGAGAUGUUGGGUUAAGUCCCGCAACGAGCGCAACCCUUGACCUUAGUUGCCAGCAUUSAGUUGGGCACUCUAAGGUGACUGCCGGUGACAAACCGGAGGAAGGUGGGGAUGACGUCAAAUCAUCAUGCCCCUUAUGACCUGGGCUACACACGUGCUACAAUGGAUGGUACAAAGGGCUGCGAGACCGCGAGGUUAAGCCAAUCCCAGAAAACCAUUCCCAGUUCGGAUUGCAGGCUGCAACCCGCCUGCAUGAAGCCGGAAUCGCUAGUAAUCGCGGAUCAGCAUGCCGCGGUGAAUACGUUCCCGGGCC